This 497-nucleotide ribosomal RNA is filed under the name uncultured bacterium. RNAcentral describes it as "partial 16S ribosomal RNA". It matches the Rfam family "Bacterial small subunit ribosomal RNA", at positions 28 to 507 of the family's 1533-position model. The record is from RNAcentral.
GAUGAACGCUGGCGGCGUGCCUAAUACAUGCAAGUCGAGCGAACAGACGAGGAGCUUGCUCCUCUGACGUUAGCGGCGGACGGGUGAGUAACACGUGGAUAACCUACCUAUAAGACUGGGAUAACUUCGGGAAACCGGAGCUAAUACCGGAUAAUAUAUUGAACCGCAGGGUUCAAUAGUGAAAGACGGUUUUGCUGUCACCUAUAGAUGGAUCCGCGCCGCAUUAGCUAGUUGGUAAGGUAACGGCUUACCAAGGCAACGAUGCGUAGGCGACCUGAGAGGGUGCUCGGCCACACUGGCACUGAGACGCGGUCCAGUCUCCUACGGGAGGCAGCGGUGGGGAAUCUUCCGCAAUGGGCGAAAGCUUGACGGAGCAACGCCGCGUGAGUGAUGAAGGUCUUCGGAUCGUAAAACUCUGUUAUUAGGGAAGAACAAAUGUGUAAGUAACUAUGCACGUCUUGACGGUACCUAAUCAGAAAGCCACGGCUAACUACGUG